GAGUUAUCAGAACCUUCGGGGGACGAUAACGGCGUCGAGCGGCGGACGGGUGAGUAAUGCCUAGGAAAUUGCCCUGAUGUGGGGGAUAACCAUUGGAAACGAUGGCUAAUACCGCAUGAUGCCUACGGGCCAAAGAGGGGGACCUUCGGGCCUCUCGCGUCAGGAUAUGCCUAGGUGGGAUUAGCUAGUUGGUGAGGUAAGGGCUCACCAAGGCGACGAUCCCUAGCUGGUCUGAGAGGAUGAUCAGCCACACUGGAACUGAGACACGGUCCAGACUCCUACGGGAGGCAGCAGUGGGGAAUAUUGCACAAUGGGCGCAAGCCUGAUGCAGCCAUGCCGCGUGUGUGAAGAAGGCCUUCGGGUUGUAAAGCACUUUCAGUCGUGAGGAAGGUGGUGUAGUUAAUAGCUGCAUUAUUUGACGUUAGCGACAGAAGAAGCACCGGCUAACUCCGUGCCAGCAGCCGCGGUAAUACGGAGGGUGCGAGCGUUAAUCGGAAUUACUGGGCGUAAAGCGCAUGCAGGUGGUUUGUUAAGUCAGAUGUGAAAGCCCGGGGCUCAACCUCGGAAUUGCAUUUGAAACUGGCAGACUAGAGUACUGUAGAGGGGGGUAGAAUUUC
This 617-nucleotide ribosomal RNA is filed under the name Vibrio parahaemolyticus. RNAcentral's name for it is "bacterial SSU rRNA". It matches the Rfam family "Bacterial small subunit ribosomal RNA", at positions 64 to 670 of the family's 1533-position model. Lineage: Bacteria; Pseudomonadati; Pseudomonadota; Gammaproteobacteria; Vibrionales; Vibrionaceae. The record is from RNAcentral.